This is an RNA transcript of Prunus persica (peach), 1393 nucleotides long. It is a transcript of the gene named 50S ribosomal protein L7/L12, with no coding region annotated. Lineage: Eukaryota; Viridiplantae; Streptophyta; Magnoliopsida; Rosales; Rosaceae. The transcript is spliced from 3 exons. The record is from RefSeq and is a predicted model, not a curated record.
AUCAAUUUUUGUCUGAGUUUCACAGACCUUGGUGGAGCCCAACUUAAGCCUCCGUCCCCGUAUAGGGUUUAUCCUGCAACCUCUCGCGCCAUACCAGUCACUCUCUUCUGAGCUAUAGAAGCCACGGAUGCACGAAGCUAAUGUUAAACCUAAUCACGACCACAAUGCCCGGAUAACAUCCUCAAUUGCCUGAAAUCACACCUAGGCCCAACAAAAUGAGAUAUUUACGGUUCAUUUCCCCACAUUUUUCUUGCAUUCACAAAACCCUAAACCCCCAAAGCCCUAAUCUUCUAUCCUGUCUCCAAUCAAAGCCCCGGAUAUGUUCGCAUUUCGUGUGCAAUUACACCACCGAUGCACCGGAGCAAAGGCCACCUCCGUCCGAGACGGUGUCGGCGAUCGCGGAUGAGAUCUCGGGCCUGACUUUGCUUGAAGUCUCGGACCUCACGGAGGUUCUGAGGGAGAAAUUGGGCAUAAAGGAGAUGCCGGUGAUGGCGAUGAUGAUGCCAGGGAUGGGAUUUGGCGGCUUGAAAGGGGCCGGCAAGGGUGGUCCGGCGGCGGCUAAAGGCGAGGAAAAGGUGGAGAAGACGGCCUUUGAUGUAAAGCUCGAUUCUUUUGAUGCUGCUGCGAAGAUCAAAGUGAUUAAGGAGGUGAGGACGUUUACGAGUUUGGGGCUGAAGGAGGCCAAGGACUUGGUGGAGAAGGCGCCUACCCUGUUGAAGAAGGGAGUUACGAAGGAGGAGGCGGAUUCGAUUGUGGCGAAGAUGAAGGAAGUUGGUGCCAAAGUUUCUAUGGAGUGAGGGGGACACAAUUUGGAUUUUCGCCCUUCAGCGUUAGAAAACUCACGUCCAGUUAUGUGUUGGACCUGUAAAUUAUCAUGAAAAUUUAUUCUGCAAAACCAGAAUUUGUUGUAUCAUCUCAGCCAAAGUGAAGUACGCUGGGAGUUAUGAAGGCUCUGCCAACCACAAGCACUUAACAUGAAAGAGGAAGAGCUUGUAGGGUUGUAGAAAACUGGGACUGGACUCAUUGUGGACAUCGAAAGACAAAGCUGUGCCAAGCGACUUUACAAGUAUGUUUUUGUUUGAAUUUUGACCACAACAAUGGUCUUGGUAUAUUGCAUUAUGACCAGAUUGAGGCUAGUACUAAACCAUUGCCAAACAAGGCAUAAUUUUUUUAAAUAAUUCGGUAUAAGUCCAAUUCUUAUAAUAGAAUUUGGGUGCAAUAUAGGAUUACAUUAUAUUACAUUCUUUUUCUAAUUUUAUGAUGUAAUCAUAUAUAUUUUUUCUUUUUAAAUUUAUUUUCAUGUUCUAAUUAUGCCCUUAUGAUUUAAAUCGGGAAAGAUUGAUUUAUAUCAUAAUAAUUAGCUAAUUAAUACAACUAUUGAUUCUAAUUGCAA